RNAcentral lists this ribosomal RNA (253 nucleotides) under uncultured bacterium. RNAcentral's name for it is "partial 16S ribosomal RNA". It matches the Rfam family "Bacterial small subunit ribosomal RNA", at positions 524 to 776 of the family's 1533-position model. The record is from RNAcentral.
UACAGAGGGGGCAAGCGUUGUUCGGAAUUACUGGGCGUAAAGGGCGUGCAGGCGGUCUGUUAAGUGCAGGGUGAAAGCUCCCGGCUCAACUGGGAGAGGUCCUUGCAUACUGGCGGACUUGAGGGGGGUAGAGGAAAGUGGAAUUCCCGGUGUAGUGGUGAUAUGCGUAGAUAUCGGGAGGAACACCUGUGGCGAAGGCGGCUUUCUGGGCCCUACCUGACGCUGAGACGCGAAAGCGUGGGGAGCGAACCGG